GAGUAAAAUAAAUAAAUAAAUAAAUAAAAUGUGCGUUUGGCAUUUUAGCACAAAAAUUUAGAAUAUUCUUGAGGCCCUUUGAAACAGAUUUGAAUAAUACUAUUAAAAUUGUUAAAGCUGCAGUAUACACAUACGAAAAUAAACAAUUUUCGGACACUUUAGGAGCAUUCGUACCAAUGCAUGCCAAUAGACAUAGGGCAGACUUAGCAGCGCUUAAUGUUCGAUCACAAUUUGUAAAUUAUUUCAAAGAAAAUUAAAAACAUAAAAUGUAUGAAAUAUAAACAAUAAAUUUUUUACCAUCUA
Long non-coding RNA from Colias croceus (clouded yellow), 303 nucleotides. RefSeq lists it as uncharacterized. The transcript has 3 exons. The record is from RefSeq and is a predicted model, not a curated record. Lineage: Eukaryota; Metazoa; Arthropoda; Insecta; Lepidoptera; Pieridae.